This 71-nucleotide transfer RNA is filed under the name Loxodonta africana (African savanna elephant). It matches the Rfam family "tRNA". Rfam says of the family: Transfer RNA (tRNA) molecules are approximately 80 nucleotides in length. Their secondary structure includes four short double-helical elements and three loops (D, anti-codon, and T loops). The record is from Rfam by way of RNAcentral. Lineage: Eukaryota; Metazoa; Chordata; Mammalia; Proboscidea; Elephantidae.
ACAUUGGUGGUUCAGUGGUAGAAUACUCACCUUCUACGUGAGAGACCGGGGUUCAUUUUCCAGCCAGUGCA